Molecule: ribosomal RNA, 800 nt
Filed under: uncultured Pseudomonadota bacterium
Lineage: Bacteria; Pseudomonadati; Pseudomonadota
Description: bacterial SSU rRNA
Rfam family: Bacterial small subunit ribosomal RNA
Source: RNAcentral
AAAGUGGAGCAAUCCAUGAGUACAGUGGCGCACGGGUGAGUAACACGUGACUAACCUACCCUGGAGUGGGGGAUAACUGAGGGAAACCUUAGCUAAUACUGCAUAAUACCUACGGGUCAAAGGAGCAAUUCGCUUUGGGAGGGGGUCGCGGCCGAUUAGUUAGUUGGCGGGGUAAUGGCCCACCAAGACAGUGAUCGGUAUCCGGCCUGAGAGGGCGCACGGACACACUGGAACUGAAACACGGUCCAGACUCCUACGGGAGGCAGCAGUGGGGAAUUUUGCGCAAUGGGGGAAACCCUGACGCAGCAACGCCGCGUGGAGGAUGAAGUCCUUCGGGACGUAAACUCCUUUCGAUCGGGACGAUAAUGACGGUACCGGAAGAAGAAGCCCCGGCUAACUUCGUGCCAGCAGCCGCGGUAAUACGAGGGGGGCGAGCGUUGUUCGGAAUUAUUGGGCGUAAAGGGUGCGUAGGCGGUUUGGUAAGUCUUAUGUGAAAUCUAUGGGCUCAACUCAUAGACUGCAUGAGAAACUGCCGGGCUUGAGUAUGGGAGAGGUGAGUGGAAUUCCUGGUGUAGCGGUGAAAUGCGUAGAUAUCAGGAGGAACACCUGUGGCGAAAGCGGCUCACUGGACCAUAACUGACGCUGAUGCACGAAAGCUAGGGGAGCAAACAGGAUUAGAUACCCUGGUAGUCCUAGCCCUAAACGAUGACUGCUUGGUGUGACGGGUACCCAAUCCCGCCGUGCCGUAGCUAACGCGUUAAGCAGUCCGCCUGGGGAGUACGGUCGCAAGGCUGAAACUC